CAGUCGAACGGAGACGGACCUGGAAGUAACAGUUUAUUGUAACGGAAAGACCUGUCUUAGUGGCGGACGGGUGAGUAACGCGUGGGCAACCUGCCCUGUACCGGGGGAUAACACUUAGAAAUAGGUGCUAAUACCGCAUAAUAAGGAAGACCGCAUGGUGGUCCUUUGAAAACUCCGGUGGUACAGGAUGGGCCCGCGCCUGAUUAGCCAGUUGGCGGGGUAACGGCCCACCAAAGCGACGAUCAGCAGCCGGCCUGAGAGGGUGGACGGCCACACUGGGACUGAGACACGGCCCAGACUCCUACGGGAGGCAGCAGUGGGGAAUAUUGCACAAUGGGGGGAACCCUGAUGCAGCGACGCCGCGUGAGUGAAGAAGUAUCUCGGUAUGUAAAGCUCUGUCAGCAGGGAAGAAGAAAGACGGUACCUGACCAAGAAGCCCCGGCUAACUACGUGCCAGCAGCCGCGGUAAUACGUAGGGGGCAAGCGUUAUCCGGAUUUACUGGGUGUAAAGGGAGCGUAGACGGCAGGGCAAGUCUGGAGUGAAAGGCAGGGGCCCAACCCCUGGACUGCUCUGGAAACUGUCCGGCUGGAGUGCAGGAGAGGUAAGUGGAAUUCCUAGUGUAGCGGUGAAAUGCGUAGAUAUUAGGAGGAACACCAGUGGCGAAGGCGGCUUACUGGACUGUAACUGACGUUGAGGCUCGAAAGCGUGGGGAGCAAACAGGAUUAGAUACCCU
Molecule: ribosomal RNA, 734 nt
Filed under: uncultured bacterium
Lineage: Bacteria
Description: bacterial SSU rRNA
Rfam family: Bacterial small subunit ribosomal RNA
Source: RNAcentral